RNAcentral lists this ribosomal RNA (329 nucleotides) under uncultured eukaryote. Its description in RNAcentral is "partial 18S ribosomal RNA". It matches the Rfam family "Eukaryotic small subunit ribosomal RNA", at positions 1470 to 1796 of the family's 1831-position model. The record is from RNAcentral.
CCCUUAGAUGUCCUGGGCCGCACGCGCGCUACACUGAGUGUCUGAGAUACGAGUCUGCCUGGUCCGGCAAGGUCUAGGUAAUCGCUAAAAGACACAUCAUGCUUGGGAUAGAUUAUUGCAAAUAUUAAUCUUGAACGAGGAAUUCCUAGUAAGCGCAAGUCAACAGCUUGCGUUGAUUACGUCCCUGCCCUUUGUACACACCGCCCGUCGCUACUACUGAUUGGAUGUUUAAGCGAGGUUCUCGAACUGCUAGCGACUUAGCUUCGGUGAAGUCGCAGUGUGGGAAGUGAACCUAGCUUUGGUGUCUAGAGGAAGUAAAAGUCGUAACA